UACGGAGGGGGCAAGCGUUUGUUCGGAAUUACUGGGCGUAAAGGGCGCGCAGGCGGCUGCUCAAGUCAGGCGUGAAAGGCCUGGGCUCAACCCGGGAAUUGCGCUUGAGACUGGGCUGGCUUGAGUGCGGGAGAGGAUGGUGGAAUUCCCAGUGUAGAGGUGAAAUUCGUAGAUAUUGGGAAGAACACCGGUGGCGAAGGCGGCCAUCUGGACCGCAACGUGACGCUGAGGCGCGGAAAGCGUGGGGGAGCAAACAGGGAUUAAGAAACCC
Molecule: ribosomal RNA, 271 nt
Filed under: uncultured bacterium
Lineage: Bacteria
Description: partial 16S ribosomal RNA
Rfam family: Bacterial small subunit ribosomal RNA
Source: RNAcentral